UACGGAGGAUGCAAGCGUUAUCCGGAAUUAUUGGGCGUAAAGCGCACGUAGGCGGCUUUGCAAGUCGGAUGUGAAAUCCCUCGGCUUAACCAAGGAAGUGCAUCCGAAACUGCAGAGCUUGAGUACUUAAGAGGAUCGCGGAAUUCCCGGUGUAGAGGUGAAAUUCGUAGAUAUCGGGAGGAACACCAGUGGCGAAGGCGGCGAUCUGGGAAGAUACUGACGCUGAGGUGCGAAAGCGUGGGGAGCAAACAGG
This 253-nucleotide ribosomal RNA is filed under the name uncultured bacterium. Its description in RNAcentral is "partial 16S ribosomal RNA". It matches the Rfam family "Bacterial small subunit ribosomal RNA", at positions 524 to 776 of the family's 1533-position model. The record is from RNAcentral.